Molecule: long non-coding RNA, 784 nt
Organism: Panicum virgatum (switchgrass)
Lineage: Eukaryota; Viridiplantae; Streptophyta; Magnoliopsida; Poales; Poaceae
Exons: 2
Source: RefSeq, a predicted model, not a curated record
UCAUCUCCCAGAUUACAUUUUCUUUUCCUUACUUCAGUGCUGUUCUUUGCUCCUGAGUCCGAUUUCUCUAUUGUUGUACUAAGACUCUGAAGUUCGAAUAAGAUCCAUCCCAGUUUUCCUAAACCGUAUAGUCCUCGCCAUUUGAUGGGGGAGGAGGCACCUCACCCCGCCGCCGCCCCCCCGCCGCCUGCGGAUCAGCGCCGUCGCCGAUCUGAGGCCCCUCGCCUUCCCCCCGUGGGCGUCGCGCGGUGGGAGGAUGGACGGCGGCGCAGGGCCGGCCGAGCACAGUGACCCCGCCCGGAGGAGCAUCUCCUCCGCCGCCGCCUCCAGGAGGAGGCUCCCUCCCGCCAAGAACGGCCAUGGCCACGACGGCGGCGCCUCCAGGAGGUCCUCCGCCUCCAUCUCCCGAGCCAACUCCCCAUAUCAAGGAACGAAGGAGUGAAGGUGAUGGAAACACAUUUGGCAUCAGAAGAUUUUGUUUACUACUAUCCAGUUAGCUUUUGUGAACUACAAAUGGAAAGAACAUUGGAGAAUGAUAUUUUGCUCUCCACAAGCUGAUAAUAUGACCCUUGUCUUUUGCUUGAUAAUAUGACCCUUGUAUUUUGCUAUUGUGGUACACAAAUCUUUGGUAACACCAUGCUCUUCAUGUAAUGGCAAACACAUCUUUUGCCUAGUACAUCUGAAACAACAAUCUUUUGGCCCCUAUGUUAAGUCAGGAUCUUUAUAAAACCAUGUAACAUUUAGAAUUCUGGUGGUUCAAUGCAAUUAUGGUGCUCACAGAUCA